CCCAACAGAACUCAUCUGUAUGCAGGCAGAGUCACAUAUGGCUCACCAGUUUGCCACCUUUGUCUAAAAUAAUUCACAGAAAUUCCUUGACAGAUAAGUCAGUGGUUUUGGAGGAUGAACUAAGACUCUAGGGGUUGCUGGUGUGUAUACUAACGUGCACAUGGGUGUUUGUGUAGGGAACCUGGCUUGAUUUUCACUCGGGCCUGGUGUGUGCUCUCUGAGAAGCUUUUGGAACAAGGAAGGACAGACUCCAGCCAUCUCGGCGUUGACUUCUCCCUGUGAACUUGUGAUGUAGGUUUUAUUUUGACGACUUUAGUGAUGAGGAAAUGGAGACCAAGAGAUUUUAAGUUGGCUACAGCAGGAGAAUGUAAGAAGCCAAAACAAAAUAUUUAUGAAUUAUGCUUUGAGAUCUUGGGGAGAAAUGCCAUUCAAUGAACUCAAGGCUUGAAAAAUGUUCCUGGCUUACAUUUUUUUAAACUGCAACAAAAUUCUAACCGGUAUCCCAGUGUUCCUUGCUACGAUCUUUAGUGGCCAUGCCUUAUGUUGAUGGCAGAUGUCCAGUAAGUGGAGAAAUUCUGAGAUCAUCUUGCACACUGAGAAGAAAACUUACGGUUUGAC
Heterocephalus glaber (naked mole-rat) is the source of this 618-nucleotide long non-coding RNA. RefSeq lists it as uncharacterized. Lineage: Eukaryota; Metazoa; Chordata; Mammalia; Rodentia; Bathyergidae. The record is from RefSeq and is a predicted model, not a curated record.